Anopheles melas is the source of this 46-nucleotide non-coding RNA. The record is from Rfam. Lineage: Eukaryota; Metazoa; Arthropoda; Insecta; Diptera; Culicidae.
CAAUCGGCUCUUUUCAGAGCCACCAAUUGAUUUAUUAAGAACAUCU